RNAcentral lists this ribosomal RNA (454 nucleotides) under uncultured delta proteobacterium. RNAcentral's name for it is "bacterial SSU rRNA". It matches the Rfam family "Bacterial small subunit ribosomal RNA", at positions 93 to 523 of the family's 1533-position model. Lineage: Bacteria; Deltaproteobacteria. The record is from RNAcentral.
AAGCGGCGCACGGGUGAGUAACACGUAGGUGACCUACCCCCGAGUCCAGGAUAACCUGCCGAAAGGUGGGCUAAUACCGGAUAUGACCACGGGAGCCUCGGCUUCUGCGGUGAAAGGUGGCCUCUGCUUGCAAGCUACCGCUCGAGGAGGGGCCUGCGCGCCAUUAGCUAGUUGGUGAGGUAACGGCUCACCAAGGCGAUGAUGGCUAGCUGGUCUGAGAGGAUGGCCAGCCACACUGGGACUGAAACACGGCCCAGACUCCUACGGGAGGCAGCAGUGGGGGAUAUUGCGCAAUGGGCGAAAGCCUGACGCAGCGACGCCGCGUGGGUGAUGAAGGCCUUCGGGUCGUAAAGCCCUGUCGAGGGGAACGAAACGGCUGCGACCCAAUACGUCGUGGCCCUGACGGUACCCCUAAAGGAAGCACCGGCUAACUCCGUGCCAGCAGCCGCGGUAA